RNAcentral lists this long non-coding RNA (5504 nucleotides) under Salmo salar (Atlantic salmon). Its description in RNAcentral is "lncRNA (ENSSSAG00000096066.1)". Lineage: Eukaryota; Metazoa; Chordata; Actinopteri; Salmoniformes; Salmonidae. The record is from RNAcentral.
GUAGAUUUAUAUCAAGUUUGUGCAGAUCGAUCAUUCGGUGCCAGAAGAGUAGCGUUUUGAGUAUUUUUCACAAAAUUCUAAAUGGCGGGAGAAAUCCAUCGUGGCACGUGUGUUUCUUGUGAGGAGAAGGACCUAUGUACCGACUUCAUGACUUUAGAUCUAACGGGGUGCCUGGUGAUCUGGAGGACCUGAGCCUCAGGACUAUAUGGCCUGAUGACUCCUUGCUGUCCCCAGUCCACCUGGUCAUGCUGCUGCUCCAGUUUCAACUGUUCUGCCUGCGGCUAUGGAACCCUGACCUGUUCACCGGACGUGCUACCUGUCCCAGACCUGCUGUUUUCAACUCUCUAGAGACAGCAGGAGCGGUAGAGAUACUCUGAAUGAUCGGCUAUGAAAAGCCAACUGACAUUUACUCCUGAGGUGCUGACCUGUUGCACCCUCUACAACCACUGUGAUUAUUAUUAUUUGAUCCUGCUGGUCAUCUAUGAACAUUUGAACAUCUUGGCCAUGUUCUGUUAUAAUCUCCACCCGGCACAGCCAGAAGAGGACUGGCCACCCCUCAUAGCCUGGUUCCUCUCUAGGUUUCUUCCAAGGGAGUUUUUCCUAGCCACUGUGCUUCUACACCUGCAUAGCUUACUGUUUGGGGUUUUAGGCUGUGUUUCUGUACAGCACUUUGUGACAUCAGCUGAUGUAAGAAGGGCUUUAUAAAUACAUUUGAUUGAUUGACAAGGAGCAAAUUGAUUGCACAUGCCCUUUAGGCCAGUUAUGCCAUCAUACUGUAGGCCUAUGGCUGCAUUGGUGAUGCAUGCCAUUAUGAUAAGCUGUAAAAUGGGCUCACAUGGCAGAUAUGCUGAGACAGAGUGACAAUCAAAUAAAACCGAUUGGAGAGUUCACAAAUGGACAAAAAUUUAAUUUUCAUUUGAGAAAGCAACACAGAAACAUUAGAGACAGAUCCUCUUCACACCUUUUUUAAAUGUAUUUAUUUUAGUACUUUUCUCCCAAAUUUUGUGAUAUCCAAUUGGUAGUUACAGUCUUGUCCCAUCGCUGCAACUCCAGUACGGACUCGGGAAAGGCGAAGGUCGAGAGCCAUGCUUCCUCCGAAACACGACCCUGCCAAGCUGAACUGCUCCUUGACACUGCUCGCUUAACCCAGAAGCCAGCUGCAACAAUGUGUUGGAGGAAACACCGUACAAAUGGCAACCGAAAUCAGCUUGCAGGUGCCCGGCCUGCCACAAGGAGUCGCUAGAGCGCAACGGGACAAGGAAAUCCCGGCCGGCCAAACCCUCCCAUAACCCAGAUGACGCUGGGCCAAUUGUGCGCCGCCUCCUGGGUCUCCCAGUCACGGCCGGCUGUGACAGAGCCUGGGAUCGAACCCGUGGCUGUAGUGAUGCCUCAAGCACUGCGAUGCAGUGCCUUAAACCGCUGCGUCAUUCCUCUUCACACCUUUUUAUUGCAGAAUUAUGAUCUGUGAUGAAUGACAUUGACACUUGUUCAUCUUAAAUAAUGUUUUUAAGUCAUUAAAACAAGUCUAAACACUUCAAUGAAUCAACAUUGAAUGAAUCAAAAUAUAAUUUCAAAAUGUACAAAUAAUCUAAUGUUUGUAAAUGUACAUCUUUGUAGUAUAGGCUAUUAUUACUAAAGCAAAAUUUCAGGUGAACAAAAAAGUCCAUACCAGAGGUGGCCAACCUUGCUCCACUCCCUGAUCUACUGGGUGAGCAGACUUCUAUUCCAGCCCAGCAAUAAUACACAGCAUUAUCAACUCAUUGGGUUUGCUAAGUUGAAUCAGGUGUGUUAGUGCUGGGCUGGAACAGAAGUCGGCACACUCAGCAUACCUCCAGAAGGACUGACCUGCUACAGUUGUAAUGCGUUUGUAGCCUACACUGUGUAUGACUUAACUGUAUUGUUGUAUACAACAUUUGCUAACAUAAGUACACAUACAAUCCAUGGCAUACAAGGAUGUGCCUGCAGUCUCUUGGGACAUUCACUGGGACCUCUUCAUCUGAAGACAGACUUUCGCAGCUCUCCAUAUCUGAGGACAGACAUCACAAAACAGGCUUAAUUUCAUUACAAUUAGACAGCCCUGGCUACUAUCUCUCUCGGUCUUCAUAGUUUUCCUCUCUAGGGACUAAAACUGGAGAAUAUUUAAUGUCAUACCAGAACCUGCCCUAUCUAACUACACUGAACAAAAAUAUACAUUCAACAUGUAGUGUUGGUCCCAUGUUUCAUGAGCUGAAAUAAACGAUCCCAGAAAUGUUCCAUAUGCACAAAAAACUUUUCUCUCAAAUUCUGUACACAAAAUGGUUUACAUCCCUGUUAGUGAGCAUUUCUCCUUUGCCAAGAUAAUCCAUCCACCUUACAGUUGUGGCAUAUCAAAAAUAAUGAUCAUUACACAGGUGCACCUUGUGCUGGGGACAAUAAAGGGCCACAACACAAUGCCACAGAUGUCUCAAGUUGAGGGAAUGUCCACCAGGGAUGCUGCCAGAGAAUUUAAUGUUCAAUUCUCUACCAUAAGCCACCUGCAACAUCGUUUUAGAAAAUGUGGCAGUACGUCCAACCGGUCUCACAACCACAUGUAACCACGCCAGCCCAGGACCUCCACAUCCGGCUUCUUCACCUGCGGGAUCAUCUUGGGUCCAGCCACCCGUACUGCUGAUGAAACUGAGGAGUAUUUCUGUCUGUAAUAAAGUCCUUUUGUGGGGAAAACCUCAUUCUGAGUGGCUGGGCCUGGCUCACCCAUGGCUGCACCCCUGCCCAGGCAUGUGAAAUCAGUAGAUUAGGGCCUAAUUUAUUUAUUUCAAUCAACUGAUUUCCUUAUAUGAACUGAAACUUAGUACAAUUUUUGAAAUUAUUGCCUGUUGCGUUUAUAUUUUUGUUCAGAAUAGUACACCUACUCCCUUUUCUGGCAGCUGGAGUAGAAAACCCAUAACCCUUCCAUUGCCGUUAUCUACAAAUCCAUUUGGAGCAUGAGUUUUUAAUUCACAAUGAUAAAUAGGCCUACAUCAAGAUAACAUGCCAAUAUGAAGUUAUCUAGCUGAUGAUAUUUCACUUAGCUAUUGCAUGUAAGAUGGCUGGCUAGCUAGCUAGCUAACAAGCAGCUCAUUCGCCUACACCAGGGGUGUGAAACCUUUUUGCCAUCAUUGGCCAUUUGGAUAUUUGGGCCGUAUUAUUAAAAAUGUGCUAUUUUCUGCUUUAUUCAUGUUUUAAUGUGACUUUAAUCACUGACAUUGGUUUUAUAGUUUAUAUAUGACUUGUAUGAUGUUUAUUGUGUCCUUGAGUAAUUAGAAAAGUGCUAGUCCUAUUUAAAUAAAUGUUAGUAUUGUAAAUAAUGUUGUCAUUGUUAUUAUGAUUACUUGUUCAAACUCACCUCUAAUGCGAUGGCUGAAACUGCUUAUAUUUGACGAGGCAUUUGCUGUCAGUGAAGAUGACUCUACUCGCAGCUGGUUUUCCCAGGUUCCAGUCAGUCUUGAGCGGAAUCGAGUCUUUGCAAGAGUCCGUUUGGAAAAUAACUGCUCACAGCAGUAGGUCGUCCAUAACACAGAUGCACAUUUAAGUGCAUGGCUUCUCAGAACAGGAAAAUGCUCCGCGCUAACGUACAUUUUGUAGAACUCAAUGAGAGGGAGGUUGUUGUACCUGGCUUCGAGCUCGUCAUUGUUAUGCAGCUCAAUGACUUCGUGUUGUAGGCCAUCCGGCACAUCCGCUGGUUCGACGUUAAACGGGGCUGCAAAUGUGUUCAACUCCAGUUGUUUACUUUUCACAUCCUUAAACCGUUCACAAAAUGCCUUCGCGAGCUUUCCACUCACCGGUAUAUUCCGACGUAAUCUCAGGCUCUUGUCCUUGCAGAGUAGGUAAAUGUACAGUGUUACCCCUUUCUAGUUGGACUUGCCACAGCUUUAAUUUUGAAGCUGGUUCGGCACAUAGAGCUUGACGUUCAAGUCAGACAGAUACUUGGUUAUGUUGGGUUUUAUUUCACUUAUUAGAUGUGAUGCAUUACCAUUUACAGUAGAUGUAGGCCUAAGUAUGAACGGACUGUAAUGCACUAAGAGGUUUAUAUUGUAUUAACAUAGAUUGAGCAACAUAUAAUAGACAUGACUAACUGGAGGGUUGCUGGCUAGUAGGAGUGUAGGCGGAGUAGACUCGUGACACACACACACACAAUGCCUGGUUGUGGGGCCGCUCAAGGACAGGUGUACGGGAGGGGCUGGUAGAAUGGAAGAUAGCUGUAGCACAAAAGCAGAAACUGUCCUAACUGUAGCAUAAAAACAGGCACUGUCCUUGGGUGUCUGACUCUCGGGUACACACAUGAAGAUAAGCUAGAAGACAACUAUGCUUGGCAACAAAGAUGCGUCUAGUGGCUGGGACCAGCCUGCACGCCAACGAUAGGCUGGAGUAAGUUUAAACCACGCUCAUCCUCCCUCUGACAGGCCAGCAGUGAGCGGGAACUAUCUCUGUCAGAGUAUUUAAUGAAAAGCAAAGGAUGUGUCACUCAGUUCUCUGUUUGCCCUGCGAGGUGUUACAGUGAACCCGUAUAUACGAAGAUUGCAUUUACCAUUUAUUCUGCUUGACUAAUUCUAUUAAUAAACAGCUGAAAAUAUAUUCAGUAGCCUAGUGUUAAAUUUGGUUCUGAUACCAGAAUUGAAUUGACGCAGCCCCAACAGUAUGUCCACCAUGAAGACCAAAUCACACAUCCACUUGUCAUCACUCAGUUCCGCGACAGGUUUCCCCUUCAUCUCCAUGAAUUGUUUUACUUCAUCCUUCAGUCACUGCUCAACCAUCGCACCUCACAGUGGUAAACCAGAUCACCAUACUCCGAUUCAAGCUCACUCAAUAGCUCCAUAAAUUGGCGGUUGUUCAGCCCUUUGCUUUUGAUAAAAUUGAUGGUCGACACUACAGUUGCCAUUACGUUGUUCGGCUUCAGGGACCGUGCACACAGACUUUCUUGAAGUAUGAUGCAGUUACAUACAAUUACAUCACUUGGAUCAAGACUGAGACAACUCAUUUAUUUUUUCACUAAUACGGUUAAGCCCUUUUUCAAGCCAACCACGGCUGGCGCUCCAUCUGUAGUAAGGCCACUUAAUUUUUCAAACCGUAGCUCAAAUUUGCUCACUGCCGAGACAAGUCUCUCAAACAAGUUUCCUGCCUCACACAGGAAGCGGCGCAGGUCCUAAUCCAGGCACUUGUCAUCUCCCGUCUGGAUUACUGCAACUCGCUGUUGGCUGGGCUCCCUGCCUGUGCCAUUAAACCCCUACAACUCAUCCAGAACGCCGCAGCCCGUCUGGUGUUCAACCUUCCCAAGUUCUCUCACGUCACCCCGCUCCUCCGCUCUCUCCACUGGCUUCCAGUUGAAGCUCGCAUCAGCUACAAGACCAUGGUGAUUGCCUACGGAGCUGUGAAGGGAACGGCACCUCCAUACCUUCAGGCUCUGAUCAGGCCCUACACCCAAACAAGGGCACUGCGUUCAUCCACCACUGGCCUGCUCGCCCCCCUACCUCUGAGGAAGCACAGUUCCC